AAUCCAGACUCCUACGGGAGGCAGCAGUGGGGAAUAUUGCACAAUGGGGGAAACCCUGAUGCAGCGACGCCGCGUGAGUGAAGAAGUAAUUCGUUAUGUAAAGCUCUAUCAGCAGGGAAGAAAAUGACGGUACCUGAGUAAGAAGCCCCGGCUAACUACGUGCCAGCAGCCGCGGUAAUACGUAGGGGGCAAGCGUUAUCCGGAUUUACUGGGUGUAAAGGGAGCGUAGACGGCAGUGCAAGUCUGGAGUGAAAGGCGGGGGCUCAACCCCCGGACUGCUCUGGAAACUGCGUCGCUGGAGUACGGGAGGGGCAGGCGGAAUUCCUGGUGUAGCGGUGAAAUGCGUAGAUAUCAGGAGGAACACCGGCGGCGAAGGCGGCCUGCUGGACCGUGACUGACGUUGAGGCUCGAGAGCGUGGGGAGCAAACAGGAUUAGAUACCCUAGUA
This 447-nucleotide ribosomal RNA is filed under the name uncultured bacterium. RNAcentral's name for it is "bacterial SSU rRNA". It matches the Rfam family "Bacterial small subunit ribosomal RNA", at positions 328 to 792 of the family's 1533-position model. The record is from RNAcentral.